AGCAGCCGCGGUAAUUCCAGCUCCAAUAGCGUAUAUUAAAGUUGUUGCAGUUAAAAGCUCGUAGUUGAAUUUCGGGAUCAAUAUGUCGGUCGUGCCUUGGUACGUACUGGUAUCAUUGGUCUCUCCUUUCUGACGAACCAUGAUGUCAUUAAUUUGGUGUUAUGGGAAGUUAGGACUGUUACUUUGAAAAAUUAGAGUGUUUAAAGCAGGCUUUAGCUUGAAUACAUUAGCAUGGAAUAAUGAAAUAGGACGUUCGAACCUAUUUUGUUGGUUUCUAGGAUCAACGUAAUGAUUAAUAGGGAUAGUUGGGGGCAUUAGUAUUCAAUUGUCAGAGGUGAAAUUCUUGGAUUUAUUGAAGACUAACUACUGCGAAAGCAUUUGCCAAGGAUGUUUUCAUUAAUCAAGAACGAAAGUUAGGGAUCGAAGACGAUCAGAUACCGUCGUAGUCUUAACCAUAAACUAUGCCGACUAGGGAUCGGAUGAUGUUAAUUUUUAAUGUACUCAUUCGGCGUCCUUACGG
Molecule: unclassified non-coding RNA, 520 nt
Filed under: uncultured Glomus
Lineage: Eukaryota; Fungi; Glomeromycota; Glomeromycetes; Glomerales; Glomeraceae
Description: SSU rRNA
Rfam family: Eukaryotic small subunit ribosomal RNA
Source: RNAcentral